This 381-nucleotide ribosomal RNA is filed under the name Triticum aestivum (bread wheat). Its description in RNAcentral is "partial small subunit ribosomal RNA". Lineage: Eukaryota; Viridiplantae; Streptophyta; Magnoliopsida; Poales; Poaceae. The record is from RNAcentral.
AAUGCCAGUCUCAGAGAACAAUAUCCAACCUUGUAUAACAUUGCUCACGAUAAGAAUAAUACUAUUGCGCACGUGCUCAGUUCUUCCCUGCUGAAUAUUUCGUUCAGGCACGAUUUGAUUGGCCCCCAACUUGUGUCAUGGCAUAAUCUUUUAUUCCGGUUGGACUCGAUUAACCUGACACAAGGACGGGAUGUGUUUCGUUGGAACCUUACAACAUCAGCCUCUUUCACAGUAGACUCUACGUACCAUGCACUCACGCACUCUGAGGUACCAGUGAGUAAUAACAAGAAAACUUGGAAGUCUAAGAGUCCACUAAAAGUGAAAAUCUUCAUGUGGUAUCUUUGUAGGGGAAUUGUGUUAACUAAAGACAACCUCGCAUGA